AGAGGUGAGGUAAAAAAAAAAAAACACAUUGAAAGCGGGUAUUCAACCUACAAAGUUCAUUGUGAUAUGAGCUCUUUGUUCGGCUGGGUCUCCAACCAGCCUGCAUCCUUUACUUAAUCUCUAGUUUCUUUACAUGAACAUUUUAGUCUACUUCCUUUAUCUAUUUGAAUCCAUGAUUUGGUGAUUGUUGCUCAUUAUUGAAUAAAAUCUUUGCUUCGAUUUUUUUAUCACUGCUUGGCUUUCUAGCAAAAGAUUUUGAAGCUAAUGUAACUUUAUUUAGAAAAUUUUUCAUACUGAGAUUCUUGUAUUUAUGUUAUGGAUCUUGAUAAUUUUGGCAAUGGGUCUAAAGCAGAAUCUUGGUAGUUUGUUAACGUUCCUCAAAAUCUUAGUAGUUUUAGGAAUGGAGUCUCAAGUAGAAGCUCUUGGACAGUUAAUAACCGAUGAUCAUGAAGGAAAGGUAAGAGUUAUGUUUUUCCUCCAAAUUUAUUUCAUGCUUGAUAUUAUUGCUUGUCUGUUGAGCUUAAAAACAGAAAAUAUAGGUGCUAUUUCUUUUAAAGAGCUUUAAGAGGGGGCAAGUUUCUUGAUUCUUUCUAUUUGUUCUAAAAUUUUGGAUUAGAUUCAGUGUUGGAAUGCUAUGACUAUCCUGCAGUUAUGGUAGUCAUAGCUUAGUCGUUUAUGACUUCCAUUGAGUGAAACUUCUUAGGCAUCCUUUGGUAGUUUAUAUUUAUGCAUUAUAUGUCUAUAUGAAUUCUUUUGUAGUAUUGUAGUUUGUGGGUUAUUCAUGCAUUGUAGGUUAGGUUAAAUCUGUGGUAGAUGGUUGAGAGGACAUAACGAAAAAACAAUUGAAAGACUAUUUGGAAAACACUAUAUAAUGGCAACAAGUGUGUGUACACUUUUUUUUUUUUUUUUUUUUCUGGGGGGAGGGGAUAUUUACAAGUUUUAGUUUAUAUUUUAUAGUUUAAAAGUAAGUUCUUGCUCUUUUCUGAUAUACCAAUAAAAGUUGUUUAGAUCUAACAAAAUUUUAAUUUUGCCAUGUAACACUCGUGAGUUUUGGUAAUUUGUUGAUUACCCUUGUUUUAGAGUUAAAUUAUCAUCUCCACUUCUUCUUUUGUGACUUAUUAUUAUAGAUUUAAAAAAGAAAAAGUCGCUGAGGUUCGUCGUUCUUUGAACUCGAUCUCAGCUCAGAUCUGUUUCAAUCUUCGAGCUCUGUCUCAGAUCCAUUCAAUAUUUGAUUUCCUUAUUGCUUUCUAUUCUUUGCACUUUUACUUUUUUGUCUUGAAAUCAUUUGCUAAACUAGGUUAGUUUUCAUUUGUAGAUCUAUAAAAUGUCAACACAAAAUUGAGGUAUGUAGAAAUUAGAAUAGCUACCAGGUGGAGGCUUUGUAGGUGUAUUUGGGGCGUUCGAUAGUCAGCAAGGAAGUGGUGGUUUCUCUGCUUUUGGUGUUGCCGUUGGUGGAGUUGGAGGAUUUGGAAUACCUCCUAAGCAUUUCACUCAGAUUAGAAAAUAGUUUUAUGUUGACUAUUGAUAGAAAGAUGCUGGGAGAGAACAUUUUGAAAAAAUAUGCAAGGUCGGAAGAUUCAGUGAAGAUAAGGGUACUGGUGGAAGGUUGGGUUUUGGCAUUGGAGCUAGUAGCUAUAGCAGAGGAGCAGAAGCUCAAACUUUACUUGGAAAGUAUCGUUUUACACGCAAUUCAAUUAAUUUUUAGUGGAAUGAGUUACGAGGUUGAUUGAAGAGAUUGUUAACCUUUGUUUUUUUCAUUCUUUUAGCUUAUGAGAAUAUUAUAAAUUCAAGUUUGU
Molecule: RNA transcript, 1796 nt
Organism: Benincasa hispida (wax gourd)
Lineage: Eukaryota; Viridiplantae; Streptophyta; Magnoliopsida; Cucurbitales; Cucurbitaceae
Source: RefSeq, a predicted model, not a curated record